GUUGAUGUUACUGUAGCUUUCUCGGGAUGGUAUUCAACUAUUUAUUGCUCGAGUCAGACUAGUUUUGGUGAUGUUUUGGGCAUUUAGUCUCACAGAUUUUCUUAAUGUUUUUGGCUUCUGAAUCAAAUCCCUGAUUGUGAGAUAUGAUCAUACCAAAAGUGAUGAUCUGUUGGCAGGAGCAUGUAUCCUGGUGAGGAAGCAAUGAUCCACAUUCCUGAAGGAUUAAAGGAAGACUGUAUAUUUAGAUUCAUAAUUAGCAGUGGUCAAUGGACGAUUGCUGAAGUGAUGUAGUCAUGAUCUAUUCUAAAUUGAGAUAUUGUGAACAUUUUUUUAUGUUUAAUGGAAGUCAUGGAUUGUGUUUUAUGCAUAAGUGUUGAAUUUUGAUUUAUC
Molecule: long non-coding RNA, 390 nt
Filed under: Rosa chinensis
Lineage: Eukaryota; Viridiplantae; Streptophyta; Magnoliopsida; Rosales; Rosaceae
Description: sRNA RchiOBHm_Chr3g0458501
Source: RNAcentral